Molecule: long non-coding RNA, 1813 nt
Organism: Aethalodelphis obliquidens (Pacific white-sided dolphin)
Lineage: Eukaryota; Metazoa; Chordata; Mammalia; Artiodactyla; Delphinidae
Exons: 3
Source: RefSeq, a predicted model, not a curated record
CCAUUAUAGGUUAUUACAAGAUAUUGAAUAUAGUUCCCUGUGCUAUACAGUGACAUAGAAAGAGAAGAAGGAAAAUUACACAUCAGGAAAGGCCCCGAAUGUAAGACAGCAAACAGACACAGUGAAAUCUAAACCAGGGUCAGUGACCUUCUUUCCAAGUUGGAUCCUCAAUGGGAGGGUGAGAACGGAGGGGCUGCUUUAUGGAAAUCUGCUGAGGCCCCCCGGGGAGCAGCGAAUGUGCCGUCAUCACCCCCUCCCUCCCCGUCAGCACCCCACCUUCACGCCCUGCCCGGACACAGUUCUCUUACAGAAAAGUAGGAUAAUAAGGCCAUAAUGUUGUUUUCCAGAGGUAAGUGAAAACACCUUAAAUGUGUUACUGGUAUUUGGGGGAAAGGGAGAUUAGGCUGGGGGUGGUGCCCGGGAAGGGUGGUGGGUACGCUAAUUGAACCUCGGGAUUAAACUCUCCGGGCCCUAACGCUGCCUGCCCCCUGGCAGAAACAUCACAGAGGUCUCAGAAGCGGCUUUGAGGCUUUUCCGGGGCUCGGAGAUGAUCCUUUGGAGCCCAGGUACGAUGAUACCUGAGUUUGUCCCGGCCUCACAGUAAUGGGGCCACUGGGAGUCUUUCUUCUACAGAAGAGAAAGGUGGGGCUGGCAGGCAGCAGGGGCGAGGCGGGUGCAGCAGGCAGCCGGGCAGCCGCAGGAGGCUCUGGCCGGCGCUGGGCGAGCCAGGUCUGAACCUCAGAGAGGGCUGCUCGCAAAUGAGCUCAGCCCUGGCGUGUUGCCUUCACCCGACAGCCGCUGGCUGUUAGGGGCAUUUUGAAGUCAGACAAAUAUAUCUCCCAGCGGCCUGGAACGGAGCGGGAAGAGGCACAGAGAGUGGGAUGACAAAGCACAGAGUCGAAAGCUGCUCCUGCUGGUUUUGGCAAAAGGGAGGGUGGGGAGAGGUAGGGAAGAGCCCACCCUGAGCUUUACAGGUGCUGUCGGGGAGCACAGCCGUCCUGCACCGCUGUUCGCCCGGACAGGGAGCUCAGGGUUGGAAGGGACCUUGGUACCAGCCGGUGCAAGGAUGCUGCCGCCGGGGCCAGUGCAAGACGGUGGAAUCCAGCGCAUCCCAUCUCUGCUGCAACUCCUUCACACACCCCAUCUUUCCCAGGCUCCGAAGGAAUUUAUCCUCCUCAUGCAGCCCUUCAGACAGAUGAAGGCAGUGUCUGAAACCUCCCCCUACUCUCCCCCUCCCCCAGACCUUCCAUCUUCUUCAUGAUGACCGCCAUGUCGUAGUGACUGUCAUGUGGCACCAUGACUGCUUCUAGAGGCUUCUGCAUUCCUUGCCUUGGAACUGCUUCCCUCAUCUUCAGAUCCGGCAAGUAGCAGCUCCCAGUCCCUUCCUGACCCUGAGGAUCACCCUUGAGCCUUGCUUUUCCACUUUAAAGGACCCUUGUGAUUGCAUCGGGCCCACCCACACAGUCCAGGAUAAUGUCCUUAUUUUAAGGUGAGCUGAUUAGCGAUCUUAAUGCUGUCUUAACAGCCUCUCGCUGUAUCACACCUGUAUCCACAGAUUCUGGGGGACUAGGACAUGUGCAUCUUUGAGAUGCCAUUCUUUUACCUUCCAUGAGAUCCACAUCCCAGCUCAUAAAAAAGCCAAGAAACUGCCCAGGCCUGUAGGCUGGUCUGUGGCCACUGACCCCAUAAAUAGGAUGUGGUCUCCGGCUGCGCGUUCCCAUAGCCCCUCCCUUGUCCACCAGGGAUCACUAUGCACAAUUUAUUAUAACUACUUUUUUUUAAUAGAUCUUUAUUGGAGUAUAAUUGCUUCACA